RNAcentral lists this ribosomal RNA (494 nucleotides) under uncultured bacterium. RNAcentral's name for it is "partial 16S ribosomal RNA". It matches the Rfam family "Bacterial small subunit ribosomal RNA", at positions 29 to 507 of the family's 1533-position model. The record is from RNAcentral.
ACGCACGCUGGCGGCGUGCCUAAUCCAUGCAAGUAGAACGCUGAAGGCGGAGCUUGCUUCUCCGGAUGAGUUGCGAACGGGUGAGUAACGCGUAGGUAACCUGCCUGGUAGCGGGGGAUAACUAUUGGAAACGAUAGCUAAUACCGCAUAACAGUAGAUGUUGCAUGACAUUUGCUUAAAAGGUGCAAUUGCAUCACUACCAGAUGGACCUGCGUUGUAUUAGCUAGUUGGUGAGGUAACGGCUCACCAAGGCGACGAUACAUAGCCGACCUGAGAGGGUGAUCGGCCACACUGGGACUGAGACACGGCCCAGACUCCUACGGGAGGCAGCAGUAGGGAAUCUUCGGCAAUGGACGGAAGUCUGACCGAGCAACGCCGCGUGAGUGAAGAAGGUUUUCGGAUCGUAAAGCUCUGUUGUAAGAGAAGAACGAGUGUGAGAGUGGAAAGUUCACACUGUGACGGUAUCUUACCAGAAAGGGACGGCUAACUACGUG